Molecule: long non-coding RNA, 1449 nt
Filed under: Homo sapiens (human)
Lineage: Eukaryota; Metazoa; Chordata; Mammalia; Primates; Hominidae
Description: non-protein coding LINC01829:33
Source: RNAcentral
GUGAGCCUUUACAGUAAACUUCCUUUGUUAGGUAGGGGCUAGCUAAUGCCAGUUGGUCUCUAUUUCUUACAUCUAAAAAGAAACCUGAACUAAAACAUAGAACAAACACCAGAAUUGGGUCAAGGGUUGUAGUCUUAUUGUUUCUCAAUUAAAAGAAUAUUAUUUUUAAAAGUUCAAAAUAGAAUGAAACAAAAUCCCAUUUAAAUAUGGAGCUGGAAGUUAAAAUAUUUUAGUGACUCCUUUGGACCUGAGACAAAUUAUACUGGAGACUAGCUGUCAUCUGAAAUCACUUUUUCUUAAGUUUUUUUGGUUCAAUUAUUGCAUAAAGACCUAACAGUUAGAGAAAUAAGGAAUGUAUUUUUAUUUCUCUGUAGCCCCAUACUCCUGGGGAUGACAUUUCAACCUUUGCUCUAUCAGUUUCUACGAUUUUCUUACCCUCUGAACCUACCAAUAUACUUUUCUUACUAGGCUCCAGCUUUGAAUCAAUCAUGCUAUUUGUUUUCUCAGCUCCUGGGCUGUUAUAUUGUAAAGAUUCUUUACUGCACUAGCAUGAACCUAUAGUCAUCAGCUGAGCUUUCAAUGGCACAUGACAAUGUCACUGAGCAGCUCAUGCUUCUCUUCUCCAAAAUAGAGAUUCCAAAUUUCUAACACUUUCUAUAAAUCCCCUUCCAGCUCAGAUUGUUCCUUUUUUAAAAGUUAUUUGUAUCCUACUUCCUAGAAAAAAAAUUGACCUAUGAAAUAUAAAAUCCCUCAUUAAAAUUAUGAAGCAGAUAAGGAUGUCUUGAUAUGGUUUGGCUGUGUGUCAUGGGAGAGACCCAGUGGGAGGGAAUUGAAUCAUGGGAAGGGGAGUUCCCCUGCACAUGCUCUCUUGCCUGCUGCCAUGUAAAACAUGACUUUUCUCCUCCUUUGCCUUCCACCAUGAUUGUGAGGCCUCCCCAGCUAUGUGGAACUGUGAGUCCACUAAACGCCAUUUUCUUUAUAAAUUACCCAGUCUCAGGGACGUCUUUAUUAGCAGCAUGAAAAUGGACUAAUACAAAUGGAUACAAAAAACUGACUGUCUAGAGUUAGGCCACUCAGGCCUGGGUGUGGUGGUUGUGUGAUACUUUGGGAACCUCAUCUCCUUGUUUUUUUCUCCUCCAUAAUCCUGCAAGUGUGGCUUUAGGCCUCAUGGCCUUGCAAGGCUCCUGCAAUUUCAUGUUUCUUUCAAGAAGAAGAGGAACAGUCUCCCCUAAACUCCCCUCCCCUUCCCCUUCUUCAGCCUCCAUCUGGAGAUUUCUGCUCACAGGGUUUUGGCUAGAACUGUGACACGUAGCCACUUUUACCUUUAAUAAUGACUUGAAAAUGUAGAUUAUUUUUGCUUUUCAAUUUCUUAAACUAGAUACAUUUCUACCGAAAACAAAACUGGACAUGGUAGACAUUUAUGUGUUCUUUGUAAUUUCAGUGGCAGUG